GACGAACGCUGGCGGCGUGCUUAACACAUGCAAGUCGAACGGAAAGGCCCUGCUUUUGUGGGGUGCUCGAGUGGCGAACGGGUGAGUAACACGUGAGUAACCUGCCCUUGACUUUGGGAUAACUUCAGGAAACUGGGGCUAAUACCGGAUAGGAGCUCCUGCUGCAUGGUGGGGGUUGGAAAGUUUCGGCGGUUGGGGAUGGACUCGCGGCUUAUCAGCUUGUUGGUGGGGUAGUGGCUUACCAAGGCUUUGACGGGUAGCCGGCCUGAGAGGGUGACCGGCCACCAUGGGACUGAGAUACGGCCCAGACUGCUACGGGAGGCAGCAGUGGGGAAUAUUGCACAAUGGGCGGAAGCCUGAUGCAGCAACGCCGCGUGCGGGAUGACGGCCUUCGGGUUGUAAACCGCUUUCGCCUGUGACGAAGCGUGAGUGACGGUAAUGGGUAAAGAAGCACCGGCUAACUACGUG
Molecule: ribosomal RNA, 468 nt
Filed under: uncultured bacterium
Lineage: Bacteria
Description: partial 16S ribosomal RNA
Rfam family: Bacterial small subunit ribosomal RNA
Source: RNAcentral